UUAAGAAUCUUGCGCAAUGGGGGAAACCCUGACGCAGCGACGCCGCGUGGACGAUGAAGGCCUUCGGGUUGUAAAGUCCGAUAAGCGGGGAAGAAUAAGCAACGGGUAAUAUUCGUUGUGAUGACGGUACCUGCCUAAAGCCCCGGCUAACUACGUGCCAGCAGCCGCGGUAAUACGUAUGGGGCUAGCGUUGUUCGGAAUUAUUGGGCGUAAAGGGCGUCUAGGCGGGGGAUUAAGUUAGAUGUGAAAGCUAUGGGCUCAACCCAUAAACUGCAUCUAAGACUGGUUCUCUUGAGUCCGGGAGGGGAGAUCGGAAUACAUGGUGUAGCGGUGAAAUGCGUUGAUAUCAUGUAGAACACCGGUGGCGAAGGCGGAUCUCUGGAACGCAACUGACGCUGAGGCGCGAAAGUCGGGGGAGCAAACA
This 424-nucleotide ribosomal RNA is filed under the name uncultured prokaryote. Its description in RNAcentral is "bacterial SSU rRNA". It matches the Rfam family "Bacterial small subunit ribosomal RNA", at positions 355 to 774 of the family's 1533-position model. The record is from RNAcentral.